UGAGUUUACACAUUUAAGUCUCUUGGACCGAAGGGCAGUGUGCCUGUAUGUCGUGCAAAGAACAUUUUAAGGCCCAAGAAAGAAAAUCCCAUGAUCUUCACAUCCCUGCAAUGGCAGAGUCAUUGCAUAGAAGGGAGAUGCACUUCUUGAUUCUGAAAUGAAAAGACUGAACCAGAAAGAAGGCAGCUACAAGGAUUCAGAUUUUGGGACAAAAUAGGAGAGUGGUUUCUUUUAAAUAUUACACAAUCCAAGAUACUGAAUCCACAGAUGUGAAAUCACAGAUGCAGAGGACUGACUGUCAAGUUAUAUGUGGACUUUCAACUAUGUGAAGAAUCAGUGCACUAACACUCACACUGCUCAAGGACCAACUGCAUAUGAUUGAGAACACAGACUCAAUGAGGAGCCUGAGAUCCACAGAAUGUCACAAAAAGAAAGAGAAAACAUCAUGGAGGAGGAAAAUCUUUUU
Non-coding RNA from Odocoileus virginianus texanus, 466 nucleotides. The record is from RefSeq and is a predicted model, not a curated record. Lineage: Eukaryota; Metazoa; Chordata; Mammalia; Artiodactyla; Cervidae.